Non-coding RNA from Taeniopygia guttata (zebra finch), 2127 nucleotides. Lineage: Eukaryota; Metazoa; Chordata; Aves; Passeriformes; Estrildidae. The record is from RefSeq and is a predicted model, not a curated record.
CAUCACUAGCAAGACACAACUAAUAGAAGUUAAUAUUUUGGCUAACUUUUCAAAAUAUUACCUAUAUUAUUUAAUUAAGCUAAUUAAAUAAAUUUUUCUCUUUACAGUUAAAAGUUCACCAGUAUCAUUCAAUCUUCUGUCUGUUAAAGUGUCACUUGUACAUGCCAAAGCCCCUUCUACUGGUUCAGUUUAGGACGACAUCAUGAUAAAGCUUCAGGUAGUAGAGACACUUGCACUUCUUUGUAUUGCCACAUAACCUGUAACUGUUCUCUCUGGUGUAAGAUAUUUUUUACCAGGUAAAUGCAAGUAACUUACAAUACCAAUUGAUCCCUCUAUAAAUACAUUACUUGUUACUUUCUCUACACACCAAAUAUAAGAAAGUAAGAAUGACAGCUGUCUGUAUACCAGAGUUUGUAUAGUGAAUGCAAACUGACUCAGACUGUAUAGAAUUAUUCAGUGUUCCCCACAAUGUAGAACCUCAGAAGUUAAAAGAAAAUGCAUGCGCAUGUGUGUAUGUGUUCUGCUUCUGGGCUGUGUAACUGUUUUAAAAAUAAAUCUUUUGCAAUUUUGUGAAGAUUCUCAGAAACCAUGAAAAUGUUGGUAUUUAUGAAAAACUGCUCCAAGGCUGCUAGGAAUAUUAUUAUGAGUUCAAACUUUAUUCUCCAUGCUCAUUAUCAUUUGAAAUAAAUAUACUCGUUAAAUUUUCAUAAAUUCCAUCUUCUGCCUGUUGUUUUCCUGAUUCUGGCUUUUUUAUCCCAUCAGCUUUGAAGGCUGCAUUUGAUUUCUUCUUCAGAAGAUGGAGAUUUUUCAAGCAUUUUCACAGCACAUUCCCUGAUCAGAGACUAGCUCCAGCUGAAAUGUAUGGCUUUAUUUAUCCCAUCAGGUUCUUACUAUAUCUGCCUGAAAAACUGACAGAGCCACUUAACAGAGACUGCAGCUGCCACAAUAUAAAUGUGAUGAAUGAACAAAAGAGUUUCAUAUGGAUCUUCAAAGGUCUGUUUUUCAUGGAUUAGGAAAUAUCUUGGCUUGCACUUUGACUGGCAAUAAAGCUGAAGUUUUCAAAUUGGUUGCAUCCAUUACAACAAUAAAAAAAAAAAUUGAGAAGUCUCAAGUCUUUUCAUGGAAACUAUCAUUCAAACUCAUUGAAAUAAACCUUUCCAUUUGUAUCUUGGUUAAUCAGAUAUUUGCAAAUGAAUAUUCAGAUGUAGUUAUUAUAGGGCAUUCAUCUCUUUGUUUGGUCAUCAGUUUGUUCUACUUUAACUCUUAAGCUUGUGAAGGAGGGAUCAUAGAAUCAGACCAACUACUUAAGGUUACUUCUCACUGGAGACCAAUUUAAUGGCACCUGAAGCCAGAACUCUCUGAGGAAGACCUAAUUUUGCCUAGAUACAGUUUUUUCAUAGAGGAAUUGAAUUUUUAUCCUCUCUUCCCUUGGAAGUCCUAUGUUUGCUUCAACUACAUCAUCACAUCUUUUUUUAAUUUCUUUAAAAUCACACUGCUAAUUUUAAUCUGAGGUUUUAUUUUUCCUUUUUCUUUUUUUUCUUUUUUUUUUUUUUUUUUCAGAAAAGAGAAAUGAUAACUGGGAAUCUUAGUCCUGCCUUUAUUUUUUCCCAAGAGAAAUUCAGAAAAUUCAUUUUUUUCUUCUUAAUCUAAAAAUUUUAGACAAUCAUUUGGAACCACAGAAACUGUCAAGAAAAAUUUGCUGACUUUAAUGUCUUUAUUAUUGUAGAACCUGAGAUAUGGAUAAUUUUCCGUACUACAGCACAAACUUUCAUCUAUCUUUAUAGACAUAACUGUAUAAAAUUUAUGGGCUUGGUAUUCUUUCCAUUUAUGACUGACAUGUAAUUUGCUGCUUCUUUUCUGUUGCAGAUCUACAUCUGCUUUCCAUCAAAACUUGUUGUUGUGACAAAGGAAGGGAUAUAGCAUAUAAAAAAAUAUUUUAAUUGUCAGUCCAUGUAGUCAGAGAAAUAUUCAUUCUCCACAAUUAUGAGGCUUAAUGGAGGGUCACAGUUCUGCGUUCAAGUGUUUUUGUAACAUGUUUGAACACUUUAAUCUUUUCCAGGAACAAAUAAAUAACUUUUUUAUCCUGUUUUUUUCUUUUUGAACAAUGCUAAUUUAGGGGUGCAGAAA